This is a transfer RNA of 74 nucleotides. It matches the Rfam family "tRNA". Rfam says of the family: Transfer RNA (tRNA) molecules are approximately 80 nucleotides in length. Their secondary structure includes four short double-helical elements and three loops (D, anti-codon, and T loops). Further hydrogen bonds mediate the characteristic L-shaped molecular structure. tRNAs have two regions of fundamental functional importance: the anti-codon, which is responsible for specific mRNA codon recognition, and the 3' end, to which the tRNAs corresponding amino acid is attached (by aminoacyl-tRNA synthetases). tRNAs cope with the degeneracy of the genetic code in two manners: having more than one tRNA (with a specific anti-codon) for a particular amino acid; and 'wobble' base-pairing, i.e. permitting non-standard base-pairing at the 3rd anti-codon position. The record is from Rfam.
GGGCAAUUAGCUCAGUUGGAUAGAGCGUUGGCCUCCGGAGCCAAAGGCCACAGGUUCGAAUCCUGUAUUGCCCA